AUUGAACGCUGGCGGCAGGCCUAACACAUGCAAGUCGAGCGGACGGAGGGGGCUUGCUCCUGGAUUCAGCGGCGGACGGGCGAGUAAUGCCUAGGAAUCUGCCCUACCUUUGGGGAUAACGUCCGGACACGGGCGCUAAUACCGCAUACGUCCAGAUGGAGAAAGGGGGGGAUCUUCGGACCUCACGCUAUCUGAUGAGCCUAGGUCGGAUUAGCUCGUUGGUGGGGUAAGGGCCUACCAAGGCGACGAUCCGUAACUGCGCUGAGAGGAUGAUCAGUCACACUGGAACUGAGACACGGUCCAGACUCCUACGGGAGGCAGCAGUAGGGAAUAUUGGGCAAUGGGCGAAAGCCUGAUCGAGCCAUGCCGCGUGUGUGAAGAAGGUCUUCGGAUCGUAAAGCUCUGUUAGUUGGGAGGAAGGGAAGUAAGUUAAUACCUGGCUGUUUUGACGUUACCAACAGAAUAAGCACCGGCUAACUUCGUG
This 484-nucleotide ribosomal RNA is filed under the name uncultured bacterium. Its description in RNAcentral is "partial 16S ribosomal RNA". It matches the Rfam family "Bacterial small subunit ribosomal RNA", at positions 30 to 507 of the family's 1533-position model. The record is from RNAcentral.